GACGAACGCUGGCGGCGUGCUUAACACAUGCAAGGUCGAGCGGUAAGGCCCUUUCGGGGGUACACGAGCGGCGAACGGGUGAGUAACACGUGGGUGACCUGGCCCUCAGCUCUGGGAUAAGCCUGGGAAACCGGGUCGUAAUACCGGAUAUGACUCCAUGACGCAUGUUGUGGGGUGGAAAGCCUUGUGCGGCUGAGGAUGGGCCCGCGGCCCUAUCAGCUUGUUGGUGGGGUGAUGGCCUACCAAGGCGACGACGGGUAGCCGGCC
This 267-nucleotide ribosomal RNA is filed under the name uncultured bacterium. Its description in RNAcentral is "partial 16S ribosomal RNA". It matches the Rfam family "Bacterial small subunit ribosomal RNA", at positions 28 to 292 of the family's 1533-position model. The record is from RNAcentral.